This 464-nucleotide ribosomal RNA is filed under the name Vreelandella stevensii. RNAcentral's name for it is "partial 16S ribosomal RNA". It matches the Rfam family "Bacterial small subunit ribosomal RNA", at positions 338 to 795 of the family's 1533-position model. Lineage: Bacteria; Pseudomonadati; Pseudomonadota; Gammaproteobacteria; Oceanospirillales; Halomonadaceae. The record is from RNAcentral.
CCUACGGGGGCUGCAGUGGGGAAUAUUGGACAAUGGGCGAAAGCCUGAUCCAGCCAUGCCGCGUGUGUGAAGAAGGCCUUCGGGUUGUAAAGCACUUUCAGUGGGGAAGAAAGCCUUGGGGCUAAUACCCUCGAGGAAGGACAUCACCCACAGAAGAAGCACCGGCUAACUCCGUGCCAGCAGCCGCGGUAAUACGGAGGGUGCGAGCGUUAAUCGGAAUUACUGGGCGUAAAGCGCGCGUAGGCGGUCUGAUAAGCCGGUUGUGAAAGCCCCGGGCUCAACCUGGGAACGGCAUCCGGAACUGUCAGGCUAGAGUGCAGGAGAGGAAGGUAGAAUUCCCGGUGUAGCGGUGAAAUGCGUAGAAAUCGGGAGGAAUACCAGUGGCGAAGGCGGUCUUCUGGACUGACACUGACGCUGAGGUGCGAAAGCGUGGGUAGCAAACAGGAUUAGAUACCCUGGUAGUC